AUUCGGCGAAUCGUCCUCCCAACAAUUCCAAUUUUCGAUACUUCUGUUAUACCUUCGCGAAUGGAAAGAGCAGUAAUGAGACAGAUCUGUGUGUACAAAAUGUACAACACAACUUACACAACGCAGCUACAAGGAACAGAUCUAGGAUGUCAAUAUCGACGAAAUGAAUCGGUACCGCGAACCGGCUGAGUGGAGAUAACCCCGGACACGUAUAUACAAUAAAUUGAUAAUUAAUUUGUCUCUUCUCAUGAAUCUCCACGCGUUCGGGAUUGAAGGUCCUGCCGCAGUGCUUGCAGGGCACCAGCUGGCUUAGAUGCGUCAUCCAGUUGGCCUCCGCCGUCGCUGUCUGGUCGACCACCUUAUCACCUGUGUGGGGAUCCUCUGCGAACAGUGAAGUCAUUGCCGACUGUAUCGUACCUUGAAAAGCGUUUUUGCGGCUCCUUCCUUCUUCGAGCCGGCGACAGCUUGUCAUUCUCGGCAUGCCACUUCUUCAAGCACUGGGGCUCGUGAAUGGCGAUACUGGAGGAUCCGAAAUCUCGGCCACAGAUGUAACACAAACUCACUGGAUACAUCGACGAUGAAUUUUCCUGUCCACUGCUGGCUGAUUGCUGCCUGUAGGAGGCUGGACGUUCCUGCUGGCUCGAAUC
Molecule: long non-coding RNA, 647 nt
Organism: Wasmannia auropunctata (little fire ant)
Lineage: Eukaryota; Metazoa; Arthropoda; Insecta; Hymenoptera; Formicidae
Exons: 5
Source: RefSeq, a predicted model, not a curated record